UGACUGUCCACAUGACUUCGGAGGGCACUGGCAGACAUCCCUGUGGAUGCACAGCUUCCAAGUUCCAGGGACUACAGGACAGACGCACUGGCAGUGAUGGCAGCUACUACUGCUAUUAGCCACUAAUGGUGCCCAAUGACCUCUUUGUGGGGGCAACACUGAAUCUUUGUGGGGACACUGGAGAAUAAUGCCGGCACAGCAGGGAAGACAGGAGCAUUUGGUUUCCUUUUGGCUCCUGAGACAUCUGUAAGGGUCUGAAUCACCUGGCAUGGGCGACUUAAAGAAGGGAAGACUGAUUUGACUCACAGUUUCAAAGGGUGCAGUCCAUCAUGGCAGGGAAGGCAUGGUAAAGCAGUCGGGUCCACAUGCUGGUGGGCCCGGAGUGGAGACAGCAAAAGGAAAUGCUCAGGGAUACUGUAUCCCCAGGACACACCCCUGGAUACCCACUUCCUUCAGAGAGGUCCUCUCAUCUUCCCAAAUCUCCAAAACCUCCAAGGGGGUCCAAGUAUUCAAAAAGGAGUUGUUGGGAAACACUUCACUUUGAAACCAUAACUCUGAGUAUUGCUGCUUCUAACUAUGCCGGUGAUAUGCAAGGCUCUGUAGAAGCUAUUUUAAGUAGCAGAGGCAAGAUAUUGGUGUUAGAUCCUCUAGCUGGCUUCUUUUGCUUCCCAAAUCCCCCGCCCCCGCCCCCAGUCUUUCAAGGCCAGCUACAGAGAGCUGCUAUGACCUUGCAAUUCUGAAUCCCCUCCCUCCCCUUUGCAGCUGUGAGCAAAGCCCAGCUCUCGCUGAUGUUCAGGCUUAAGACAACCUUGAAUUGUAUCUAGGGUCUUCCUGGUCUAUGACUUCUACUAUGUAGGCCAGAUAACAGGAAUCCUUCCCCAUCUUCUUCUAGAGACCUGUAAGAACCAGAGCCCCACUUUGUCUUGCAGAACCGAAGUCAUCACUCGUGCUGGGGUUUUGUUGUUGUUGUUGUGUGUGUGUGUGUGUGUGUGUGUGUGUGUGUGUGUGUGUGUGUGUGUGUAAUUCAGCUUCCUUUGAACCAUUCGUGUUCCUUUAAGUAACCCAAUAAAUUAAUAAAAGUUCACCAGGCUGGACCUGGGUGUGA
Molecule: long non-coding RNA, 1105 nt
Organism: Mesocricetus auratus (golden hamster)
Lineage: Eukaryota; Metazoa; Chordata; Mammalia; Rodentia; Cricetidae
Exons: 3
Source: RefSeq, a predicted model, not a curated record